This 3065-nucleotide long non-coding RNA is filed under the name Triticum aestivum (bread wheat). RNAcentral's name for it is "long non-coding RNA (TAES_LNC009717)". Lineage: Eukaryota; Viridiplantae; Streptophyta; Magnoliopsida; Poales; Poaceae. The record is from RNAcentral.
GCGGCGGCGACACCUCGCCGGCGGCGACACCACCACUGGAAGACGAAGAUCUCCUCACCGAGGUACUCCUCCGCCUCCCCCCGCAGCCGUCCUCCCUCCCGCGCGCCUCCCUCGUCAGCGGACGCUGGCGCCGCCUCAUCUCGGACCCCCGAUUCGUGCGCCGCUUCCGCCUCCGCCACCGCCGCAACCCUCCCCUCGUCGGCUUCUUCGACAUGGGCACUCGCGGCCUCUACUUCGUGCCUACGCUGGAGAGUCCCGACCGUGUCCCUCCCGGGCGCUUCUCCUUGCAGUUGGACGACGGGGACCAGGCCGUUCCCCUCGGAUCCCGCCACGGCCUCGUGCUCUUCUUGUACCCGUCGUGGAAACAGGUCCUGGUGUGGGAUCCCGUCACCGCCGAGCAGCACCGCGUCGCCCUUCCCCCAAGGUUCACGGGACAUGUGAACAUGGCUGCGAUCCACGGGGCGGUGCUUCGCGCUGCCGGAGACGUCCAACACUUUCAGGUGGUCUUGCUAGUGGUGGACAACGACGACGACAUACACCACAUACGAGCGCUGGCCUGCGUCUACUCGUCGGAGACCCGUGUUUGGGGUGACGUCUUCUCGGCACCGCUUCUGCCCAAGGUCGACUUGAGCAGCCUUUACACCAGGGUUUAUCGGCCCAAGGCGGCUGUGCUGGUUGAAAAUUCCCUUUACUGGAUGCUUGUUGGGAAUUUGGUUGGUAUUCUCGAGUUUGAUUUGGUGAAGCGGAGCAUCGCCGUGAUAUCGGCGCCGGUGGAUGUGUUUACCGAAGGAAAACAUGAAUUCACAGUUGUGCGGACAGAGGGUGGUGGCCUUGGGUUCCUCUUCCUGUCAAAGUCAAACUUCAGUGCCCAAUUAUGGAAGAGAAAGACAAAUAGUGAUGGUGUUGCUUCAUGGGAGCUGGGAAGAACCAUUGAACUGGACAAGCUAAUUCCCCUUAAUUAGGAGGAGAGAGCGCACACAUUCAUAGUAGGGUUUGCUGAGGACAAUAAUGUGGUGUUCCUGUGGACGGUGAUGGGUGCCUUCAUGAUCCAUCUUGAGUCAAUGCAGCUCAAAAAACUUCCGGAUCUCACCGUGAUUUCCUGCUAUCAUCCAUUUGAAAGUGUCUUUGCUGCAGGUAAUGGCAUGCCUUUACACAUCUCAAAAUAGAUAAAUUAGCAUGCCUUUACACUGUGGUGUAACAAAAAAAGUUUAUUUUCUGAUGAUUAGCUGAUGGCAUUAUAUUCACACCCUUUCGUGUAAUGCUAACAAUUUGUAAGUAGUGUCGUAUCACUUGUUUCUUCUACUUCUUGAUGACCUUGUCAACAUAUAGCUGCAGUGUCUUUUCUCUCUCUCAAGAUGACUGAUUACUUAGGUCCCCAUGUGCAUGCAUAUGAUCAUUUCUGCUCAGAGAUGCGCGAAUAUUGACAUGCUAAGUAGUAUCAAAUGUUCAGGCAGAUUUUUUAGUUUUACUAAGCUAGUUGCCAUGCCAUUUCACAUGCCUGCUUAUUUGGCAUCAUUGUGAUAACCAGUGAAGUAACGAUUGUUCGAAUACUUAAUGACUAUGGCUUCAUUAGACUUAUGCUGCUGUUCAUUGUUUUGCUUGCAGCAAUAUUAUUAUAGGUUAUGGAUGGUUAUUCUAGAUAUAUGUUGGUUGUUAUUUUUCCGUUCUUGAUUGUUUCAAUUGUACUUUCAAAUUGCUCAGCGUGACCCUUCAAUCUUGGCCAUCAUUGGCUGGUCCAAACUAUAUGUUAGCUAUGCUUUAUGUGCGGUCUAAUUUCUUCAAUCUUGGCCAUCGUGGAUGUUUAAUACUCCAUAUCGAACACAUGAUCAAAAUAACAUCACUGUAUUCUCCAUAUAUAUCGAACGCAUGAUCAAAAUACAUCACUAGAUUUACCAUAAAAUCUUCUUUCAUCAUUAAUAACAUUUUUUAUAUUUUCUAGCAUAUUAUCAUUAAAAUAGUGGUGAGAGUAUUGCGUUAUGCUACGAAGAGUAAAUAUAGUGAGUCAUUUUGGACCAGUGGGAGUAUCGAUUAUAAGAUGAUGCAAGAUCAGUUGCUUGAGGCUUGUACUGCAUAAUUUUUAUCAAAUUUGAUUUGUUAGUGAGUAUGUAGCCCGUACAUUUCUGAAAAGUAUCCCGGUGUGCAAGAAACAAGAUGUUUCUGUUUUUCCUACUCCAUGUGUGCCCCUCGUGUGUUGAGUGUUCUGUUAGGCACUAAUUACACCAGAGGUAGCCAAAACUGCUAGUAUUACAAGUUAAAAGGUGUGCCCCUACACUAGAAAUGACAUGUUGCUGUUCUCUGUUUCAAAUUCUGGUUUUGUCUAAUAAUGCUGAUAUGUUCCAACUUUUGAGCUUUUCACACAAUUUCAACCAUGCUGAAUGUUUAAUGCUUGACUUCAUAUAAAAAUUAUGAGAACAGCUCCUAAUGAUUUUCCUGAAUAAAUAUAUAGUACACGUCUGUUUGAAUGAUGAGUGAUGAUAUUUCUUGCUUGGCAGGUAUCUAGAGUUGCAUUCCAGUGGUGUAGAUGCAGAAAUGGGUUCUGGGCCGUAUGUUCUUCCCAUUUGUCUGAUGGACAUGGAUCCUGUAUGUGGCAUGCACCUAGCACCGGUCACCCGUGAAGUGGACUUGUAGGAAGGUUGAAGUGGACUUGUGGAUUUGUCUGCUGAACUUGUUAAUUUGUGUAUAUUUGUUUAAUUUAUGUAGACAUUCGUUCUGGCACAAAGGUUGAAGUUACAUCCCAUUGUUUCAAUGCGUAAUGCUUUUCAAGCAUGUUGUGUUAAGCUCACCUGUCAACUCCACCUCUCACUAGUGUGCUUGCAUUUUGAUUCUUGUAUCAGGCGGAGAGAUUUCAAUGUUGGGUUUCUGUUUAUGUUCCAUGAUAUCUCCAUUUGUGUGUUGUUAAAUUUCUAUCUUGUUUCUGAGCUAGUUCUAACUACUGAAUGUUGAAUUGCCACUGGCUUAGCCUGGUGCUAUCUGCUAUCUGUAUAAAUAGGCGGCAAUUUGACCAUGCUGGCUUCAGUGCUAUUUUGCUUUCUUAGAGGUGAUGCAAAGCUAUGGAUGAGUCACAC